AAUCAACGCUGGCGGCGUGCCUCAGACAUGCAAGUCGAACGCGAAAGUCCCCUUCGGGGGACAAGUAGAGUGGCGCACGGGUGAGUAACACGUGGGUAAUUUACCUUCGGGUGGGGAAUAACAGUCGGAAACGACUGCUAAUACCGCAUGAUGCAGCGGCACCACAUGGUGACAGUUGUUAAAGGCGGGGGAGUCGCAAGACCUCGCGCCUGAAGAGAAGCCCGCGGCAGAUUAGCUAGUUGGUAAGGUAAUGGCUUACCAAGGCAACGAUCUGUAGCCGGCCUGAGAGGGCGGUCGGCCACACUGACACUGAAUAACGGGUCA
RNAcentral lists this ribosomal RNA (324 nucleotides) under uncultured bacterium. RNAcentral describes it as "bacterial SSU rRNA". It matches the Rfam family "Bacterial small subunit ribosomal RNA", at positions 32 to 333 of the family's 1533-position model. The record is from RNAcentral.